GCAUUAUUAAGUAAUAAAAGAAUAUGCUAUCUAUAUUUAGAACCAUGUUGAAAAUGGAUGUUAAGAAUCACAGUCAUUUUGAAUUUAACAGUUGUCAAAUCUGUUAGUGAACAUUAACAGUAGAGAAAAGAAUCAUUAUGAGAUUGGUUACUUUUGACUUUUCAGAACAUUGGUCAAAUGAGUGUUGUGACAUCAUGACAUGGAGCCUCCACUCACAGUCAUCGUGGCAACGGGAGAACGUCAUCAAGUAGUUCUCUGAUGAUUUUUGGAAGAAAUGAUUCAACC
RNAcentral lists this long non-coding RNA (285 nucleotides) under Bos taurus (domestic cattle). Its description in RNAcentral is "long non-coding RNA NONBTAT012203". Lineage: Eukaryota; Metazoa; Chordata; Mammalia; Artiodactyla; Bovidae. The record is from RNAcentral.